RNAcentral lists this ribosomal RNA (503 nucleotides) under uncultured bacterium. Its description in RNAcentral is "bacterial SSU rRNA". It matches the Rfam family "Bacterial small subunit ribosomal RNA", at positions 31 to 518 of the family's 1533-position model. The record is from RNAcentral.
GAACGCUGGCGGCGUGCUUAACACAUGCAAGUCGCGCGUGAAAGGACUUCGGUCCGAGUAAAGCGGCGCACGGGUGAGUAACGCGUGGAUGAUCUACCCAUGAGUUAGGAAUAACGGCUGGAAACGGUCGCUAAUACCAAAUACGCUCCGAUUUCAACUUCGGGGGAAAGGUGGCCUCUGCUUGCAAGCUACUGCUCAUGGAUGAGUCCGCGUCCCAUUAGCUAGUUGGUGGGGUAACGGCCCACCAAGGCGACGAUGGGUAGCCGGUCUGAGAGGAUGACCGGCCACACUGGGACUGGAACACGGCCCAGACUCCUACGGGAGGCAGCAGUGGGGAAUAUUGCGCAAUGGGCGAAAGCCUGACGCAGCGACGCCGCGUGAGGGAUGAAAGGUCCUCGGAUCGUAAACCUCUGUCAGGAGGGAAGAACCGCCACGGUGCUAAUCAGCCGUGGUCUGACGGUACCUCCAAAGGAAGCACCGGCUAACUCCGUGCCAGCAGCUGC